RNAcentral lists this ribosomal RNA (625 nucleotides) under uncultured archaeon. Its description in RNAcentral is "partial 16S ribosomal RNA". The record is from RNAcentral.
GUGACUCCAAUGAACGCAGCUUCAUCCCUGUGGUGCUCCCCGCCAAUUCCUUUAAGUUCAUACUUGCGUACGUACUUCCCAGGCGGCAGACUUAACGGCUUCCCUGCGGCACUGCAUUGGCCACAAGCCAAUGCAUCACCGAGUCUGCAUCGUUUACAGCUGGGACUACCCGGGUAUCUAAUCCGGUUUGCUCCCCCAGCUUUCAUCCCUCACCGUCGAACGUGUUCUGGUACACCGCCUUCGCCACAGGUGGUCUUCAGUAGAUCAAAGGAUUUUACCCCUUCCUAUCGAGUACCGUGUACCUCUCCCACUCCCUAGCUGCACAGUAUUUUCGGCGGCCUAUACGUUAAGCGCAUAGAUUUAACCGAAAACUUAUGCAACCGGCUACGGAUGCUUUAGGCCCAAUAAACCUCCUGACCACUCGAGGUGCUGGUUUUACCGCGGCGGCUGACACCAGAACUUGCCCACCCCUUAUUCACCAGUGAUUCUACAACUGACAAAAGACUCCUUUAGCAGGAGACACUCGGAUUAACCUUGUCGUGCUUUCGCACAUUGCAAAGGUUUCUCGCCUGCUGCGCCCAUAGGGCUGCGUCCGGUUCAGUCCCAUCUCGGGGCCUUCUCUCAG